GAUGAACGCUGGCGGCGUGCCUAAUACAUGCAAGUCGAGCGAACAGAUGAGGAGCUUGCUCCUCUGACGUUAGCGGCGGACGGGUGAGUAACACGUGGAUAACCUACCUAUAAGACUGGGAUAACUUCGGGAAACCGGAGCUAAUACCGGAUAAUAUAUUGAACCGCAUGGUUCAAUAGUGAAAGACGGUUUUGCUGUCACUUAUAGAUGGAUCCGCGCCGCAUUAGCUAGUUGGUAAGGUAACGGCUUACCAAGGCGACGAUGCGUAGCCGACCUGAGAGGGUGAUCGGCCACACUGGAACUGAGACACGGUCCAGACUCCUACGGGAGGCAGCAGUAGGGAAUCUUCCGCAAUGGGCGAAAGCCUGACGGAGCAACGCCGCGUGAGUGAUGAAGGUCUUCGGAUCGUAAAGCUCUGUUAGUAGGGAAGAACAAAUGUGUAAGUAACUAUGCACGUCUUGACGGUACCUAAUCAGAAAGCCACGGCUAACUACGUG
This 497-nucleotide ribosomal RNA is filed under the name uncultured bacterium. RNAcentral's name for it is "partial 16S ribosomal RNA". It matches the Rfam family "Bacterial small subunit ribosomal RNA", at positions 28 to 507 of the family's 1533-position model. The record is from RNAcentral.